Molecule: small RNA, 126 nt
Filed under: Rouxiella badensis subsp. acadiensis
Lineage: Bacteria; Pseudomonadati; Pseudomonadota; Gammaproteobacteria; Enterobacterales; Yersiniaceae
Description: RtT sRNA
Rfam family: RtT RNA
About the family: This family represents a bacterial cis-regulatory element known as RtT RNA. The exact function of RtT is unknown although it is thought that it may be involved in changing the cellular response in relation to amino acid starvation.
Source: RNAcentral
AGAUCUCGCGCGUCGUGUGGGUGAGAAGUUGCGUUCUGGUUCGAGCCGAGCGAAGCGAGACGACAACGCGAACGCGUUGCCCGCAGGGUGAGGCCAAAGGCCGAAUCAAUCCCGCACGACCCACCA